Molecule: non-coding RNA, 205 nt
Organism: Oryza meridionalis
Lineage: Eukaryota; Viridiplantae; Streptophyta; Magnoliopsida; Poales; Poaceae
Source: Rfam
AAUAAAUGCACUGAUCAGUUUACAUGUCAAAUUUUGAUCGUCCGUUUUAUUUGAUAUUUUUUAUGAUUAGUAUUUUUGUUAUUAUUAGAUUAUAAAACAUGAAUAUUACUUUAUGCUUGACUUAUGUUUUUUAGUUUUUUUUCAAAAACAAUUAAAUAAAACGGACGAUCAAAGUUAAACAAGAAAACUUAUGACUGCGUUUAUU